AUCCUGGCUCAGGAUGAACGCUAGCUACAGGCUUUAACACAUGCAAGUCGAGGGGAAACGNUAUUGGAAGCUUGCUUCUGAUAGGCGUCGACCGGCGCACGGGUGAGUAACGCGUAUCCAACCUGCCCAUCACUUGGGGAUAACCUUGCGAAAGUAAGACUAAUACCCAAUGACGUCUCUAGAAGACAUCUGAAAGAGAUUUAAAGAUUUAUCGGUGAUGGAUGGGGAUGCGUCUGAUUAGCUUGUUGGCGGGGUAACGGCCCACCAAGGCGACGAUCAGUAGGGGUUCUGAGAGGAAGGUCCCCCACAUUGGAACUGAGACACGGUCCAAACUCCUACGGGAGGCAGCAGUGAGGAAUAUUGGUCAAUGGACGAGAGUCUGAACCAGCCAAGUAGCGUGCAGGAUGACGGCCCUAUGGGUUGUAAACUGCUUUUAUAAGGGAAUAAAGUGGGAGUCGUGACUCUUUUUGCAUGUACCUUAUGAAUAAGGACCGGCUAAUUCCGUG
This 506-nucleotide ribosomal RNA is filed under the name uncultured bacterium. RNAcentral's name for it is "bacterial SSU rRNA". It matches the Rfam family "Bacterial small subunit ribosomal RNA", at positions 16 to 507 of the family's 1533-position model. The record is from RNAcentral.